This 490-nucleotide ribosomal RNA is filed under the name uncultured bacterium. Its description in RNAcentral is "partial 16S ribosomal RNA". It matches the Rfam family "Bacterial small subunit ribosomal RNA", at positions 30 to 507 of the family's 1533-position model. The record is from RNAcentral.
AUUGAACGCUGGCGGCAGGCCUAACACAUGCAAGUCGAACGGGAACAGAAAGCAGCUUGCUGCUUUGCUGACGAGUGGCGGACGGGUGAGUAAUGUCUGGGAAACUGCCUGAUGGAGGGGGAUAACUACUGGAAACGGUAGCUAAUACCGCAUAACGUCGCAAGACCAAAGAGGGGGACCUUCGGGCCUCUUGCCAUCGGAUGUGCCCAGAUGGGAUUGGCUAGUAGGUGGGGUAACGGCUCACCUAGGCGACGAUCCCUAGCUGGUAUGAGAGGAUGACCAGCCACACUGGAACUGAGAAACGGUCCAGACUCCUACGGGAGGACGCAGUGGGGAAUAUUGCACAAUGGGCGCAAGCCUGAUGCAGCAAUGCCGCGUGUAUGAAGAAGGCCUUCGGGUUGUAAAGUACUUUCAGCGGGGAGGAAGGGAGUAAAGUUAAUACCUUUGCUCAUUGACGUUACCCGCAGAAGAAGCACCGGCUAACUCCGUG